Hippocampus zosterae (dwarf seahorse) is the source of this 584-nucleotide long non-coding RNA. RefSeq lists it as uncharacterized. NCBI's taxonomy places the organism in Eukaryota, Metazoa, Chordata, Actinopteri, Syngnathiformes, Syngnathidae. The record is from RefSeq and is a predicted model, not a curated record. The transcript has 2 exons.
CGUUCAAAGCGACUGUUUUCCACCCCGGAUUCAGUUGGAGUAUUUGCCAAAGUUGAGGAAGGGGCCAAAAUGGGAUUAGACCCACCAGGAGAAGGACAGCAGUAAGAAAGCAAACCAGUGCAGCAAAAUGGAGACUGUGGAGCACAGUAGUGCCUUUUCCCUGUGUUUACUUCUAACCAUAGAGACGGAUUUCAUCGUAGCGGAGACAUGAGAGCAGCAAAAAAAUAAAUAAUAAAAAUAACAAAUCACUUCAGCAAACCAGUGCAGCAAAAUGGAGACUGUGGAGCACAGUAGUGCGUUGUCACUUUUCAAAAAGCUUUUCCCUGUGUUUACUUCUAACCAUAGAGACAGAUUUCAUCGGAGCAGAGACAUAAGAGCAGCAAAAAAAUAAAUAAUAAAAAUAACAGACCACCUCAGCAAACCAGUGCAGCAAAAUGGAGACUGUGGAGCACAGUAGUGCGUUGUCACUUUUCAAAAAGCUUUUCCCUGUGUUUACUUCUAACCAUAGAGACGGAUUUCAUCGUAGCGGAGACAUGAGAGCAGCAAAAAAAUAAAUAAUAAAAAUAACAAAUCACUUCAGCAAA